UACAGAGGGUGCGAGCGUUGUCCGGAAUCACUGGGCGUAAAGGGCGCGUAGGCGGUUGCCUAAGCGUGUGGUGAAAGCCCGGGGCUCAACCCCGGGUCGGCCAUGCGAACUGGGCGACUGGAGCACGUCAGAGGCAGGCGGAAUUCCGGGUGUAGCGGUGGAAUGCGUAGAGAUCCGGAAGAACACCGGUGGCGAAGGCGGCCUGCUGGGACGUGGCUGACGCUGAGGCGCGACAGCGUGGGGAGCAAACAGG
This 253-nucleotide ribosomal RNA is filed under the name uncultured bacterium. RNAcentral describes it as "partial 16S ribosomal RNA". It matches the Rfam family "Bacterial small subunit ribosomal RNA", at positions 524 to 776 of the family's 1533-position model. The record is from RNAcentral.